RNAcentral lists this ribosomal RNA (616 nucleotides) under uncultured Serratia sp. RNAcentral's name for it is "bacterial SSU rRNA". It matches the Rfam family "Bacterial small subunit ribosomal RNA", at positions 855 to 1471 of the family's 1533-position model. Lineage: Bacteria; Pseudomonadati; Pseudomonadota; Gammaproteobacteria; Enterobacterales; Yersiniaceae. The record is from RNAcentral.
ACGCGUUAAAUCGACCGCCUGGGGAGUACGGCCGCAAGGUUAAAACUCAAAUGAAUUGACGGGGGCCCGCACAAGCGGUGGAGCAUGUGGUUUAAUUCGAUGCAACGCGAAGAACCUUACCUACUCUUGACAUCCAGAGAACUUUCCAGAGAUGGAUUGGUGCCUUCGGGAACUCUGAGACAGGUGCUGCAUGGCUGUCGUCAGCUCGUGUUGUGAAAUGUUGGGUUAAGUCCCGCAACGAGCGCAACCCUUAUCCUUUGUUGCCAGCGGUUCGGCCGGGAACUCAAAGGAGACUGCCAGUGAUAAACUGGAGGAAGGUGGGGAUGACGUCAAGUCAUCAUGGCCCUUACGAGUAGGGCUACACACGUGCUACAAUGGCAUAUACAAAGAGAAGCGACCUCGCGAGAGCAAGCGGACCUCAUAAAGUAUGUCGUAGUCCGGAUUGGAGUCUGCAACUCGACUCCAUGAAGUCAGAAUCGCUAGUAAUCGUAGAUCAGAAUGCUACGGUGAAUACGUUCCCGGGCCUUGUACACACCGCCCGUCACACCAUGGGAGUGGGUUGCAAAAGAAGUAGGUAGCUUAACCUUCGGGAGGGCGCUUACCACUUUGUGAUUCA